This 476-nucleotide ribosomal RNA is filed under the name uncultured bacterium. RNAcentral describes it as "bacterial SSU rRNA". It matches the Rfam family "Bacterial small subunit ribosomal RNA", at positions 29 to 507 of the family's 1533-position model. The record is from RNAcentral.
AUGAACGCUGGCGGCGUGCUUAACACAUGCAAGUCGAACGAAGCAUUUAGAACAGAUUACUCGGUUUGAAGUCUUAUGACUGAGUGGCGACGGGUGAGUAACGCGUGGGUAACCUGCCUUGUACUGGGGGAUAGCAGCUGGAAACGGCUGGUAAUACCGCAUAAGCGCACGGUGCUGCAUGGCACAGUGUGAAAAACUCCGGUGGUAUAAGAUGGACCCGCGUCUGAUUAGCUAGUUGGUGAGAUAACAGCCCACCAAGGCGACGAUCAGUAGCCGACCUGAGAGGGUGACCGGCCACAUUGGGACUGAGACACGGCCCAGACUCCUACGGGAGGCAGCAGUGGGGAAUAUUGCACAAUGGAGGAAACUCUGAUGCAGCGACGCCGCGUGAGUGAAGAAGUAAUUCGUUACGUAAAGCUCUAUCAGCAGGGAAGAUAGUGACGGUACCUGACUAAGAAGCUCCGGCUAAAUACGUG